Molecule: non-coding RNA, 1059 nt
Organism: Cricetulus griseus (Chinese hamster)
Lineage: Eukaryota; Metazoa; Chordata; Mammalia; Rodentia; Cricetidae
Source: RefSeq, a predicted model, not a curated record
UUCAGACAGUACAGAAAUAUAAAUGGUACAGGGUUAGUUAGUAAAGACAAAGAAAAGAUUCUAGAAAGUACUUAGCACAUCAGUUGAUUUCUUGUUGCGGGGGCUUUGGAGCAAAGUCCUAAGGAUGACUAUGAGCAUCUGAUUUCAAGACGGGAAGAGAGAGUCAAGAGGAAGAACACACAGACAAGCGAAUUCCAGAAGACACAGAGAGAACCUGGAGAAUGGGGGAUGACUCAGAGAUGACGAUGUCAUCAGUGAGAAAGCUGAAGACUAGGAAGUGACCGCCUAGCAGGAAGAGAGACCUACACCCAGUGAGGCUUGUGCCCUAGGUCUCGGGAUGUGUGUGAAGUAAGUUGGUCUCCAGGUUCCCGAGAGAAUGUGUGUGUAGAGAUUUACCACAUAGCUGGCUCAGUUUGUUGCAUCCAAGCCCAGAGUAUGAAGAAGCCAUGUUCUAAGGCACAUGUCCCCGCCAGCAUGUGCUUGGGGCAAAAGAAGGACCCUUCAAAUACCAAGAGGCUGUGGCUGAUGAGUUGCAGACAGCAAGAACAUACAGCAAGGGGAAGGACACUGUGCUGUUUGACACCCUCUCCCCACACACAGAGAGUCAUCAAGGACACUAAGACAACAAGCAAAUCUCUUCAAGUCACAGAGAAGGAUCUUGCUGAAAAGAAUUAGUGAAAAUUUCCCCAAUGGUGGACCCAUUGUCCGUUACAUGCAGCAGCCUGAGACUGCACAUAUGUCCAGAGGAGCUGAAGUCAGAGUGUUGAAGAGAGCUCAUGCUUACUGUACCAGGAUCCACAACAGCUAAGACAUGGAGCCUACAAAGUCUCUAGCUACAGAUGGAUCGAUGAGAGGAUUUAAACCUCAAGUUGUUGGCCAUGUCAGAUUCCUCCUUUGUUCUGUGUAAGCCUCUCCUGAGUAUGGCAACUUGGACCCAGAAGAUGUGUGGUAUACUAUGCCUGGUGCUGGAAAUAAGAAGGGAUCCACUCUUUGCUGUGCAUACAGUAGGUUGUUAUCCAAGUACAAAGAAGAAUAAAAUCCUGUCAUUUGCAACAACUA